Vidua macroura (Pin-tailed whydah) is the source of this 1904-nucleotide long non-coding RNA. RefSeq lists it as uncharacterized. NCBI's taxonomy places the organism in Eukaryota, Metazoa, Chordata, Aves, Passeriformes, Viduidae. The record is from RefSeq and is a predicted model, not a curated record. The transcript is spliced from 3 exons.
CGUGCGCUGGCCUCCCGCACCCGUGCCCCCCCGGAACACGAACGCCGGCUCUUUUCCCUGGGAAAGAAAACUCAGCAGCCCAGUUCAGUGCAGUGGGAGAGCAGCCUGGGUUUCUGCAGCUAGCCCUGCCAGGAAAGCAUCCUGUCAUCCCACCAGCUGGGAAGAACAUUUAAAACAUUGCUGCAUGCAAAACAACUGAUCUUGUCGCAAGUACAUCAGUCCAAGAAGAUCCAGGAUUCAGUUUCCUCUGCAGUUAAGAGACUCUACACAGUCUUCUUGAAAAUCCAAGUUCAUAUCUGGAUAUAACUCUUAGCCAAGGGUGGCCAGACUGUCAAGGUGGUCAAAUGCAGUUCCCAUAACAAGGUGACACCACCUGAGCAGCGAGAGGGCCCUGCUGGCAUGGGGGCAAAGGACAGCCCAAAUCCCCAGCCCUCGAGGAGCUGGGCUCCCAGGGACUGCUGGAGGUGACACCCCCGAGCUGCUGUGGGUCCCUGCUGCAUUCCCAGGCCAGCCUCACCUCAAAGGGGGCUCCUGGGGAAACAGUCACCUCCUGUCUGGGGGCUGCUCCCAACCCUCCUGCAUUAAAGGGAGACUGGUGAAUAUUUAGUGUCACCUUCAUCCUUUGAAGCUUUUUCUAUGGGGGAGAGUCUGAAAGGUCAAUAUCCUUACAUUAGACUAUUAUGUGCCAUGCCAAGGUAAGGGAGUUAAACAAGUGGUUUCAUGAGCAGCAGAAGUCAUGAACCCUGCUUUCCUGCAGAUUUGGGGAGGGUUUUCUUCUCCUCCUUGCCUCCUUCAGCUGUAGGACCCCAGCACAGGAUGAUUACCCAAGACUGGGUUCUUUCCCUAGGUGGGGCAACUACUAGAAUAUUUUACUCAGAACUUCCAGCCACCUGCCCUAUUCAAACUUGGCUGAGACAGCCACCAAGCUUAAAAAUUAUUGCAGAAUUCUGACAGAAAAGGCAUGUGCAUAAGCUCCAGUUCUUCAGGAAAUCAAGCUAUCUCUGUCCUUCACUUCCCCCAUCAUCCCAAAGACAGCUGGUGCAGUAGCUCUGGAAAUAAAAAAACUUGGAGCUUUUGCCCUCCACUGGCAGGGUUCUCACUCUGUCAGAGAAAUGAAAACAACAACACAAAGUCAUUCCUUGCUGCAAAACUCAGCAGGAUGCCUUUCCAGCUUGCACACAAAGAUGUCUUUGCCCAAACAGGAACACAGGACUCAAAGCAACAAACUGGAUUAUCCAUCCAUUACAUUUGUGAAAAAAUGGAGAAUUCAAAGGAGGAUCUGCCCAGCCCCAUUUCCUCAACUCCAUGACAAUAUUUAAGUUACUGGCAGGAUAAUUUAACGUGAAGGCUUAAACGUCAAGCCAAAUAUUCUACCUUCUGCUGCUCAGCUGGACUUCAGCAAACUGUUGUGCAGUAGAUUCUACCUCGCCCAACUUUAUGGCUGUCCAAAGCAGCCUCCUCUGUCUCUGCAGUGCUCUUGUGUGACCUCCUGUGCCCACCAGGGUUUGCUCUGUUUGCUCUCUGCAGGCACAGGUGUUAUCCCAGAGCUGGCACACCCCAUCAGUCCCAGGAAGGCACCUCUGUGCCCUUGCACUGCACGCAGAUGAAUCACAAACACUCUGUGUGCUGCUCACAUGAUAGCCUGUCGCUGGAGAAGCCCAGAGCACUGGGCUUCAUCAAUUGCUUGACCUAAUUAACGCUGCAGAAAAAGAGGGGAUGGUAUUUUGAUUCCUCCUGACCUAGAAGGAAACCACAUAAACACUGCAUCUGGGAAGCAAAAAUGAACAAACCUAUCUCACCUCCCCAAAACCAGACAAAUGUUUCCUGUAUUAAAUGAUUUAGUGAGUGGGUUAAUUCAGGACUUGACCUACAUGAUUUAUUUCCCAUGUAUGUGUUUGAAUCAG